UACGGAGGAUGCAAGCGUUAUCCGGAUUCAUUGGGUUUAAAGGGUGCGUAGGCGGGCUAUUAAGUCAGUGGUGAAAUCCUGCAGCUUAACUGCAGAACUGCCGUUGAUACUGAUAGUCUUGAGUUUGGUUAAGGUAGGCGGAAUGUGUAAUGUAGCGGUGAAAUGCUUAGAUAUCACACAGAACACCGAUUGCGAAGGCAGCACACUAAGUCAUUAUUGACGCUGAGGCACGAAAGUGUGGGGAUCAAACA
Molecule: ribosomal RNA, 251 nt
Filed under: uncultured prokaryote
Description: partial 16S ribosomal RNA
Rfam family: Bacterial small subunit ribosomal RNA
Source: RNAcentral